UAAACUGGCUCUGAGCAUGCAUGAAGCAUC
Molecule: non-coding RNA, 30 nt
Filed under: Mus musculus (house mouse)
Lineage: Eukaryota; Metazoa; Chordata; Mammalia; Rodentia; Muridae
Source: RNAcentral